Non-coding RNA from Pangasius djambal, 72 nucleotides. NCBI's taxonomy places the organism in Eukaryota, Metazoa, Chordata, Actinopteri, Siluriformes, Pangasiidae. The record is from the annotation of a GenBank genome assembly.
UCCCUGGAGGACUAGUGGCUAGCCCACAGCGCUUUCACCGCUCCAGCCCAGGUUCAAUUCCCAGCCAGGGAA